Molecule: transfer RNA, 73 nt
Filed under: Bos taurus (domestic cattle)
Lineage: Eukaryota; Metazoa; Chordata; Mammalia; Artiodactyla; Bovidae
Also listed under: 2 other names
Rfam family: tRNA
About the family: Transfer RNA (tRNA) molecules are approximately 80 nucleotides in length. Their secondary structure includes four short double-helical elements and three loops (D, anti-codon, and T loops). Further hydrogen bonds mediate the characteristic L-shaped molecular structure. tRNAs have two regions of fundamental functional importance: the anti-codon, which is responsible for specific mRNA codon recognition, and the 3' end, to which the tRNAs corresponding amino acid is attached (by aminoacyl-tRNA synthetases). tRNAs cope with the degeneracy of the genetic code in two manners: having more than one tRNA (with a specific anti-codon) for a particular amino acid; and 'wobble' base-pairing, i.e. permitting non-standard base-pairing at the 3rd anti-codon position.
Source: Rfam by way of RNAcentral
UCCCUGGUGGUCCAGUGGUUAAGACUCUGUGCUUCCACUGCAAGGGGCACAGGUUCGAUCCCUGAUGGGGGAA